CGUGUUCGCCGAGCCCGGCUGCCCCUGACCCGGAAGCGGAAAGCGGGGCCUGGCGCGGGCUGCUCUGGGUAAUCUCCGGCUGCGGCUUGGCGGUUGCUUGGUAACCGCGCCCCUCCAUGGCUGUAGCCCAGGGACCAAAGACGCUCUGGGAGCAAAUCUGUGCUGAGUACGAUGCAGAGCAGCCUCCAUUUCCGUAUAGUCCUGAAUCAAAACAAGAUUCUGUUUCUUUGGAUACAGGAAUUUUGCAGCCUUUACAUACAAAACAAUUAUACUCCUCUUCUACUGAAUGUUCCAUUGCCCCAAAAAUAUCUUCCUUACCCACGCUCGCACCGCUUCCAGCAGCACCUAAUCCAAAAACAUGUUCUCCUCGAGAAUAUUUGGAAUAUUACAUAUUUCCAAUACUUCUGCCGGGAAUGGCUGAACUUCUGCAUCAAGCAAAGAAGGAAAAGUGUUUUGAGAGAAAAAGGACCAAAUUUAUCGCCUGUGAUUUUCUGACUGAGUGGUUAUACAACCAGAAUCCAAAGAGGAAAGACGAGCCAUUCACAGAAUUCUUCUCCAUCCCUUUUGUGAAGGACUGGCUAAAGGACCACCCUAGACCACCAAUUCCUCUGUCUCUCCUAUUAUCAGAAGAAGAAGCAUGCAAAAUAAUUCAAUCAUUCUGGAGAGGUUAUCGGGUCCGCUGUGACACUGAGGUACAAGAACUGCGGCAAUGGCAAAAGCAACUGAGAGAGGACAAGAACAUUAUUAAAAGAGUGCAAGAGUUCUGGACUAAACAGGAAACCAAAGUCAUUAUGGUACACAUUGAUUGUCUUGAAAAUCCUUCAGAGGUGUACUUAAGAUAUCAGUAUGCAACAACCAGCGGGAAAAAAGGUAUCCUUCAGUCUGCACGCACUAAGGGAUUGCUCUCCCAAAGCAAAUCAAGAAAAAUUAUGAGGACUUCUUGAAAUCAGAAAGAACAGAAAUUAUGCACAAUGGCAAAGAGUCAUUCUGCAGCGCAAGCAAUAGCGGGAGAUGGCAAAGUCCAGAGCAGAACUGCAGGGAGGAUGUGAAGAAGGUCGACGCUGAAGGAGAAGCAGGGCAGCACAAAGGCUACGGUAUAAUUGAGACUCCAUGUUCCCGAUCAAAUUGGUGGUGUUCAAGGUACAAUCAAACAAGGCCAACUCCCACCAGUUGAAUGCAGCAAGAAGAUAAUCGUUUACUUGUUAUUUAUUCUGACUCUCAAAGUAUAAAGUGUUCUGUUUUAUGGUCUUGUUUAUAGCACUCUGUAGUUGUAGGUUUAGCAAAUGACCCAGAAGACUAGCCCUGCAGCUGAGCUUCGAGAUGCACGGUGUCCGAGCAGCAGUACUAGAGAGGGGAAAAAAGGAUAGAAAAGAUUAAGAAGAGCCAUUGAAACCAAUGAAUGACAUAGCAAUUCAAAGUUCAGUGCUGGCACAAUCACAGCACUACCUUAGGCUGUAUAUAAAACCACAAGCAUAGCUGUAGCCCAGCACAGGUGUAUAGGUAAAAAGUGAUCAAUAGUAACUGGGUUUUAAAAAAAAAAUAGAAACCAACAUCAUUAGCUCUGUGGUAAAUUUCAGUACAAAGUAAUAGCCAGCUGAACCCUGACAGGUGCUGAGUAUCUGCUGAAAACUCUCAUAGGAAUCAAUGAGAAUUGCAAGUGCUCUACAACUGUGCAUUGGCAACUGUAAUGUUGACACCAGGAGGCUAUUAGUAUUGUUGACAGCCCAAUUGGCUGGGCUGCCUGCGGUAGCUACUUUAUCCUGCACUGAAAUAUAUCAUACAGUAUUAGGUAUUGCAGUUGCUGCCCUCCUAUAAUGCACAUGGACGUGGCUCAGAUGACGAGAAGGAAACCAGGCUAUGUCACAAGCUCUGUAUUGUUGUGGUUGGAUGAAGCAUCGUGGAGGCUGGUGAGUGAGCGCUGCUGCCUGGGAGAAGGCUCCUUUACAGUAGCUCCCACCAGCCCACCACAAAAUUAGUACCGUGUGGGUGGAGGGCUUUGCUGGGUAUUGUUUGAUCAGAGGGGGGCUGUGUGUAAGAGAAGCAGGAGACAUGGCACAGAGAGAGAGGGACUGAGGGCUUGUCUACCCAGAGGUGCAGUGAGCACCGCAGGGGUGUGAUUUCUAAAACCUACUGAUAUGCUGCGCAUUAGUUGGCCCGUGUAGACCCUGCUGGUGUGCACUAAAGGUUUCCUUGGGCACUUUAAUGUGGUGCUGUUUGAACCAGCACUGCAUUCAAGUAUGCCACUGGGGUCUACACAGACCAAUUAAUGAGCAACAUGUUGGUGUGCUUUAGAAAUCCCACGCUCAUGGGGCGCUUUACCCCACCAUGUAGCCAAGGCCGGAGAGAAGCAGAAAGCAAGCCGAGCAGAUGCAGCCUGGAAACAUGGCAUGUGGCCCUUGGAGAAGC
RNA transcript from Mauremys reevesii (Reeves's turtle), 2406 nucleotides. It is a transcript of the gene named IQ motif containing K, with no coding region annotated. NCBI's taxonomy places the organism in Eukaryota, Metazoa, Chordata, Testudines, Geoemydidae. The record is from RefSeq and is a predicted model, not a curated record. The transcript has 13 exons.